GAAAAAAAAAAGAUGGAAAACACAUAAAGCACUGUUAGAUAUACAAACCAAACUCAAUUAGAAUUAGAAUUUAGAUAUAGAUUUUUCACUUAAUUAGGAGUUGGUUUUCCUAUUUAUAAUUAGCAUUUGUAUGGUGUGCCAACAUACAGAGGUCCCUGGACAUUAUUGUGAAGAGUGAGUUAAAACGAGAGCAAGAGAGAGUUAAAAAGAGAGCAAGAGAGAGGGGGAAGAUAUCUCCAUCAAAACUGAUGUGGUGUGUGUGCCUUGUUCAAGAAAAAGGCCAAAUUACUGCAUGCCGUGUAACACUCAAAACCUAGCCAAGCCAAAAAUAUUUGUGAGCUCUGUGCAGUGCGCAAUGCAUAAUUGCAAAAGGCCAAUAUUAUGGCAAGUUCUCAAAUGAGAGCCAUUGAAGUUCUGCUGGUUUGUAAAGUGUGGUUAUACUGCAUGUCUGUAUAAUGUGAAUGCUCAAAUGAGAGUUGUUUUUUUGCCACAGUCCAGAUUGUUCACAAAAAGUCUGCAACAAUGUUCUCAAGGUUCUUUGGUAUUUUUAAAUUUUAAUGCUAACAAGUGAUUCAAAAUGAUAUUUAAUGCUGACAAGCACUUAUAAUUCUGCCGGUGGUUGUUUUAGUGAGAGUUCUUUAGCAUAUGGGCACAGAACGGCAUGGUAGUCUGUUUUAGCGAAGCCUUUAAUUUUCUCUUCCUCUGUUUUAAGAACAAUGCAUUAUGCUUCUUUUUGUACUAUUCAUUUUUGGUUGUGAGUAUAAAAAAAGGAAUUAGAAAUUAAGGUAUGUUCUUUGUAAGAAGAAAAUGAAAACAUAAGAUUUUUUUUUUCAAGUUAAAUUUACAUAAAGAAUAAAGUUAAUCAGCCAUGGGUGAAUAGUACAAUUACCAUGGGCAAGACAAAAUUAAAUGCACAAGAAACAGAUUAAUAUCGUUU
This 937-nucleotide unclassified non-coding RNA is filed under the name Hevea brasiliensis (rubber tree). Lineage: Eukaryota; Viridiplantae; Streptophyta; Magnoliopsida; Malpighiales; Euphorbiaceae. The record is from RNAcentral.